AAGAGACUCACAUAUCUGUAGAAGAGCUUUCCUAAAACGAAGUAUAACAGAGCAGAGAUCAGAAGAGAAAUCAGUCCAUCUACUAUCAGGUCAUGCAGAUGGACCAGAAGCUAGAUGACAUCCUGACCGCGCUCCAGGCUCAGUUUGGGGAUCAGCCACAGGCACAGAUGUCAGGGCAGCCGCUCCACCUGUCAGACAGCUACAGACAGCCUCAGAUUCCUCCCCACUGAACCGGAAAAUUUAAGAGCCGGAGGACAGCCACAUGCCACCCCCUCAUUCUUUUACAUC
Molecule: long non-coding RNA, 288 nt
Filed under: Gallus gallus (chicken)
Lineage: Eukaryota; Metazoa; Chordata; Aves; Galliformes; Phasianidae
Description: lncRNA (ENSGALG00010025699.1)
Source: RNAcentral